Lycium ferocissimum is the source of this 332-nucleotide long non-coding RNA. RefSeq lists it as uncharacterized. The transcript has 2 exons. The record is from RefSeq and is a predicted model, not a curated record. NCBI's taxonomy places the organism in Eukaryota, Viridiplantae, Streptophyta, Magnoliopsida, Solanales, Solanaceae.
UCCGACAUCAUUGCUCUGCUCAAGAGACGCGGAAUCAAGGGUGUGGAUGUUCUCAGAGAAGAAGAAGUCAAACUGGGAGAGGAAGAGGCGAAGAAGCUGCUGAAGACUUCGCUGGAGCACAAGGGUGUCUUGACCCGUGUCUUCAAGGACAUCAUAAGUAAAUAAAUGCCUUUGUGCUCAUUCCCUUGUUUGUGAAUGGGACUUUCCUAUCUUUUGCUCUAGUCUACUAAAUUAAUAAAUGUCUGUGUGCUCUUUAGCAAUGCAGACUUGUUUUGUUUGUCCACCUAUGGACUUAUGUGUGUGUAUUAAUUUCAAUCUUGUCUUUGUUUAAA